Molecule: long non-coding RNA, 6730 nt
Organism: Salvelinus fontinalis (brook trout)
Lineage: Eukaryota; Metazoa; Chordata; Actinopteri; Salmoniformes; Salmonidae
Exons: 2
Source: RefSeq, a predicted model, not a curated record
CACUCCCUUGAUGCUUUGGUGACCUUUUAUUGUCUGUGUGUGAGCGCCUGCACAUGUUCGCGCACGUGUUUUGUGUAUGUGUGUUGGCACGCAUGUAUGCUUUGUGAAACUUGUGUGUGAGAGAGCGAGACAGAACAGUGGUGUCUCACUGUGUGAGACUAUGAUGUCAUAGUCUCAUCCCCUAUGCCUGGCUCUGGCUGUAUCAUGCUAAUCCAGACCGAGGACUAAGGAGAGAAGGGAGGAGAGAUAAUAACAGGAGGAGAGAGGAUAGAAGAGCACACUGAUCAUCCUUUGCAGAAACGAGCAGUGAAACAACAUACAUGGCUUGUCUCUGUUCGACAACCUGAGCUAAAACAUUCACUGACCUGAGGACCUCACACCGAGGACAACCCUUGCAUGACCAAAGACUGACCAGGACCACGUUUUUGGAUUGAAAACACUAGUUGGAGCCAGAGUAAACCGUACUGCAGAUUAACCAUAUCCUGGAUUAAGGAGAGAGAGGGACAGAUAUCUAACACUUUUUCCAUCACUCUCCCUCCCUACUGGCACUAGAGAAGGACUUUACAGAACACACUAAUAUCUGAUGUAAAUAUUGACAUUGUGUUGGAUGCCUGUCCUCAUCUGACUUGCACUAAGAGAAAGAGAAGAGAAAGUUAUGGGAGCUCAUCCAUGACCCUUUGACUCCUCAACUGGCGGUGACCUCAGAGCUGCCCUAGGGGCUGGGUUCGAUGUGAGGCAGCUGUCUGCUGCGGUCGACAUGCAACCAACGUCUGACUUCUCUUUUUUUACUCCCUCUUUUUUUCUCGUUGUAGCUGCACCUCUUUCUCUCUCGGCCUGGGGCAAGGAUUCAAAUAGUCCUCCUGUAAAUCCAUUCCGAGGGAAGACACACACACUCGCUCACUCACUGGAGGUCUGAGUCAGACUACGCCACUGAGAGAGAGUUGUGUGUCAGUGAGUCUGUCAUGUCUGUUUCACUUACUUACCUGUCACAUCUGUCCACCUGUCUGUCUGUCCGUGUGAAUAAGUGUGAGUGACAUCACAUACGUAACAGUUCGCGGUGUCUGUCUCGCUAUCUGUCUGUGGGAAUCAGUGACUUCAUGUGACAAAACGUGUGUGUGUGUGUGUGUGUGUCUAUCAGCAUUCAACAAUACGAGCCAAUUUCACUGUGUGUGUAUCGCUCUCCAUAAACCCACAAUGGGCUGUGCCAUGUGCUCACAGUUGAUUGAUAUGUGGAGUGUGUCAGUGAGGAGAACCAGCCGAAGGGCCAUGGAACUGACUGCCCUUCCCGAGGCUCUCCAGGGGGGCUACCACAGAGUCACCGGCCUCCACUACAUGUCCUCCUUCUCCGAUGCAGAGGACUGCUGUGAUGACAAGAACAGUCACAACAGCACCACCGGCAGCUCCUUCACUAUGGACUGGCAAGAGACAGAUGACUGACACUGGGGUGACAGGUAGCCUAAGCAGUGUUUCCCAACUCCAGUCCUCGGGUACUUGUCAACUAAUCAUCAAAUAAAAUAAAUUUUUAUUAGUCACAUGCACCGAAUAUAACAGGUGUAGCCCUUACAGUGAAAUGCUUACUUACGAGACCCUAACCAACAGUGCAGUUUAAAAAAAUACGGAUAAGAAUAAGAGAUAAAAGCAACAAGUAAUUAAAGAGCAGCAGUAAAAAAUAAAAUAACAAUAUAUACAAGGGGGUGCCGCUACAGAGUCGAUGUGCGGGAGCACCAGUUAGUUGAGGUAGUAUGUACAGUUGAAGUCGGAAGUUUACAUACACUUAGGUUAGAGUCAUUAAAACUCAUUUUUCAACCACUCCACAAAUUUCUUGUUAACAAACUAUAGUUUUGGCAAGUCGGUUAGGACAUCUACUUUGUCACAAGUCAUUUUUCCAACAAUAGUUUACAGACAGAUUAUUUCACUUAUAAUUCACUGUAUCACAAUUCUAGUGGGUCAGAGGUUUAAAUACACUAAGUUAACUGUGCCUUUUAAACAGCUUGGGAAAUUCCAGAAAAUUAUGUCAUGGCUUUAGAAGCUUCUGAUAGGCUAAUUGACAUAAUUUGAGUCAACUGGAGGUGUACUUGUGGAUGUAUUUCAAGGCCUACCUUCAAACUCAGUGCCUCUUUGCUUGACAUCAUGGGAAAAUCAAAAGAAAUCAGCCAAGACCUCAGAAAAAAAUUGUAGACCAAGACUGGUUAAUCCUUGGGAGCAAUUUCCAAAUGCCUGAAGGUACCACGUUCAUCUGUACAAACAAUAGUAUGCAAGUAAAAACACCAUGGGACCACGCAGCCGUCAUACCGCUCAGGAAGGAGAUGCGUUCUGUCUCCUAGAAAUGAACGUGCUUUUGUGCGAAAAGUGCAAAUCAAUCCCAGAACAACCGCAAAGGACCUUGUGAAGAUGCUGGAGGAAACGGGUACAAAAGUACCUAUAUUCACAGUAAAACAAGUCCCUAUAUCGACAUAACCUGAAAGGCCGCUCAGCAAGGAAGAAGCCACUGCUCCAGAACCGCCAUAAAAAAGCCAGACUAUGGUUUGCAACGGCACACGGAGACAAAGAUCGUCAUUUUUUAAGAAAUGUCCUCUGGUCUGAUGAAACAAAAAUAGAAACGUUUGGCCAUAAUGACCAUUGUUAUGUUUGGAGAUAAAGUGGGAGGCUUGCAAGCCGAAGAACACCAUCCCAACCGUGAAGCACGGGGGUGGCAGCAUCAUGUUGUGGGGGUGAUUUGCUGCAGGAGGGACUGGUGCACUUCACAAAAUAGAUGGCAUCAUGAGGGAGGAACAUUUAGUGGAUAUAUUGAAGCAACAUCUCAAGACAUCAGUCAGGAAGUUAAAUCUUGGUCGCAAAUGGGUCUUCCAAAUGGACAAGCAUACUUCCAAAGUUAUGGCGAAGUUAAGGACAACAAAGUCAAGGUAUUGGAAUGGCCUUCACAAAGCCCUGACACCAAUCCUAUUGAAAAUGUGUGGCGUAUGUGAGCAUGGAGACCUACCAACCUGACUAAGUUACACCAUCUCUGUCAGGAGGAAUGGGUCAAAAUUCACCCUACGUAUUCAGGGAAGCUUGAGGAAGGCUACCCGAAACGUUUGACCCAAGUUAACCUGUCUAGGAUCAGCGUGGCGCUAGCGGCACACCCCCCCCCCCCCCACUGAAAAACCAGUGCCGCGAAAUUCAAAAAAAAUAUUUUUUUUAAAUAUUUAACUUUCACACAUUAAAGUCCAAUACAGCUAAUGAAAGACACAGAUCUUGUGAAUCCAGUCAACAUUUCCGAUUUUUAAAAUGUUUUACAGGGAAGACACAAUAUGUAAAGAUGUACAUCUAUUACCUAAAAACACAUUAGCAUAAUCCACCAUCUUUUAUUUGUCCACCAACACCAGUAGCCAUCACCAAUUCGGCUAAACUAAGAUAUUUAUAGCCCCUAACCAACAAAAAAACUCAUUAGAUGACAGUCUGAUAACAUAUUUAUGGUAUGGGAUAGGUUUUGUUAGAAAAAAGUGCAUAUUUCAGGUAGAUGGCAUAGUUUACAAUUGCACCCACCAUCACAAAUGGACUAGAAUAAUUACAAUGAGCAACGUGUUUACCUAACUACUAAUCAUCAAACAUUUCGUAAAAAUACACAGCAUACACGAAUCGAAAGACACAGAUCCUGUGAAUACAGACAAUAUUUCAGAUUUUCUAAGUGUCUUACAGCGAAAACACAAUAAAUCGUUAUAUUAGCAUAGCACAUAGCACAUAGCAGCCCAGCAUUGAUUCUAGCCAAAGUGGGCGAUAACGUCAACAUCGCCAAAAAUAUAUUAAUUUUUUCACUAACCUUCUCAGAAUUCUUCAGAUGACACUCCUGUAACAUCAUAUUACACAAUCCAUAUAGAGUUUGAUCGAAAAUGUUUAUAUUUAGCCACCAAAAUCAUGGUUAGACAAUGUGAAAUGUAGCUCAGCUGGUCAGAAAAUGUCCUUGCGCCACUUAGACAGUGAUCUACGCUUAUACAUAAAUACUCAUAAACGUGACUAAAAAAUAUAGGGUGGACAGGGAUUGAUAGACAAUUUAAUUCUUAAUACAAUUGCGUUAUUACAUUUUUUAAUUUAUCCUUACUUUUCAAUACAGUUUGCGCCAAGCGAAGCUACGUCAAAAAACAUGGCGUCCUAAGCCACUAAAAUGUUUCGACAGAAACACGAUUUAUCAUAAUAAAAAUGUCCUACCUUGAGCUGUUCUUCCAUCAGUAUCUUGGGCAAAGGAUCCUUUCUUGGGAGAAAUCGUCUUUUGGUGGAAAGCUGUCCUCUUGCCAUGUGGAAAUGUCAACUGCGUUCGGGAUGAACUGAAAAGCGUGCCCAACUUUUCACAUCGUUGCAAAAAUAAAUGUCCCAAAAUCGCACUAAACGGAUAUAAAUUGCUAUAAAACGCCUUAAAUUAACUACCUUAUGAUGUUUUUAACUCCUAAAACGAGUGAAAAGAUGACCGGAGAAAUAUAACAGGCUAAACUAACGCUUGGAACAGGUGCGCGCCGGUGUCCUCUAGGCUCAUGACGCAGCUCCCAAAGAAUGACUAGCUUCAGGGUUUUUUCAUUUGUAGGGCCUGUGAACGCGCAAUCGACCCCGUUGGAAUCGUCAUCACGUAAAGGCAUCCAGGGGAAGACGUAAGAAGUGUCCGUAUAGUCAUAGCAACGACAGUGCCCUUUUAAAUGACUUCAGAAGAGUGGCCAACAUUUCUCAAAUCUGACUCCAUGUCAGGGAAAUUGCUGUAGAAUGGGCUCUGUUCCACUUAGAGACAAAAUUUCAACUCCUAUAGAAACUAUAGACUGUUUUCUAUCCAAUAAUAAUAAUAAUAUGCAUAUUGUACGAUCAAGGAUUUUGUGGGAAGCCGUUUCAAAAAUUACCCAAUUAGCAUAAAUAGUCUAAACAGCGCCCCCAUCCCCAACAGGUUAAACAAUUUAAAUGCAAUGCUACCAAAUAGUAAUUGAGUGUAUGUAAACUUCUGACCCACUGGGAAUGUGCUGAAAGAAAUCAAAGCUGAAAUAAAUAAUUCUCUGUACUAUUAUUCUGACAUUUCACAUUCUUAAAAUAAAGUGGUGAUCCUAACUGACCUAAGACAGGCAAUUUUUACUCUGAUUAAAUGUCAGGAAUUGUGAAAAACUAAGUUUAAAUGUAUUUGGCUAAAGUGUAUGUAAACUUCCGACUUCAACUGUACAUGUAGAUAGAGUUAAUUAAAGUGACUAUGCAUAGAUGACAACAGAGAGUGGCGUUGGUGUGGAGAGGGGGAGGGCAAUGUGAAUAGUCUGGGUAGAUGUUCAGGAGUCUUAUGGCUUGGAGGUAGAAGCUGUAUAGAAGCCGUUGAUGAGUUGAAUGAGGUGUUCUUGUCCGGGGCAACAACGAAAAUGUGUACUGUUUGGGGUACUGGAGGUCAAAAGGUUAGAGAGGCGGCCCAGAACCAGAGGGUCGGCAGUUCAAAUCUUGAGUCUGACAGGAAAAUCUGGUCUGGACUAGAGUGAACUGGCAACCUGAGUCUAAUUAGUACCAAUAUCCUAUAGAGACCAUAUCCUGCCCUUGUUUAAUUGAUGCAAAAAAUGCACUGAGUACAACCCAGGGAAUAACACGUUAAAAGGGAUUCCACUUAUUUUCAACGUGGUCCCCGAUGGAAUACAGACAAAACAACAUUAAUCCCUAUGCAUCACAUAGCAUAGAAUAAGUAAAUAAAUCAAAUAAGAUACAGGAAAAUCUAAUAAAAUACAGUCAACUUAUCCUGAUCCCAUCCUUUUGUCUUUCUGGACUCUAUACACGUCCUUCAUCAAUAAAUCUACAUAUUUAGUGUGGCUUGUGAAUGUGCCACUUAUUUAUACACUUCAUUAUUCUUUACAAGGCUACUCCUCUUACACCGUUUUAAGAUAGAAAUGCCAUUCAAACUUUAAAACAUGCAGACUGGUCUGAAAUAUUGUGCUUACACACACUUUUUGAAACCAUUUAUACUUUUUAAACUAUUGAACUUUUAUUAAUCUUCAUACACUUUAAUGAGAUUUCUUCAACAUUCUAAACCUCCCAUUAUUAAAAAAUACCAUUCUGAAGCUGUGACUUCUAACAUUCUAUUCACUGUAAACACUAACUUUUGAUGUAAAUCAGCUACUUUCCAAACAACUUAGACAAACACGUAGAGGGUAUGACAUCUUGAUAUUCUUCUCUGCUACUCAAAUCUGAAAUCAGAACAGAAUUAUCUUCUAUCAAUCAAAAACAGCUGUUUUAGUAACCGCAUCAACUUUUAAAAACAGACUUUUUGACCACUUUCCCAGCAAGUUAGACAAAAACUUGGAGUGUAUGAAAUCUUAGUCUACUUCUCUGCUUUUCAAAUAUAAUAUCAGAACACUUCUUCCACUACCACAAAAAUACUUUUAAAGAGCUGAAGCAAGGCAUACAAUUUUACUUAACGUAAAAUGACCAUCUACUUAUCAAUAAAACGGUAUUACAGCUAGGAUGGUCUCGGGGCCAGACCUCUGCUUUCACAUUACUGAUGUAGCAGAGGCAUAAAUUCCUGUCUGACCACGUUUCCACUCUACAAAGAUAAUUGUGCAGGUACAAUAUCAGAAAUGUUGACAGACAAUUUGUUCGUUUUACAUGGUGGAAGUUUUUGUGUCUGUAAAAUGAAUUAUGUGACAAGUUGUGGUGGAAACGAUUUCUUGCGCAAUUGUUGAUAGAAUAACCAUAAUGUGGAGGUACAUUUUUGGAGUCAUGCUAUGUAAAAAUAAAUAAAUAAACGAAA